CGCAUCUGUGCAUGCAGCAUAUCAAUAAGCGGAGGAAAAGAAACUAACAAGGAUUCCCCUAGUAACGGCGAGUGAAGCGGGAAGAGCUCAAAUUUGAAAUCUUAAAGGGUUUCCCUUUACGAAUUGUAGUUUAAAGAAGUGUUUUCUGUUGAGGUUUUGGUAAAAGUUCUUUGGAAUAGGACAUCAUAGAGGGUGAGAAUCCCGUAUUUGACCUUUACUUUCAACUUUGUGAUACACUUUCAAAGAGUCGGAUUGUUUGGGAAUGCAGUCCAAAAUGGGUGGUAAAUUUCAUCUAAAGCUAAAUAUUGGCGAGAGACCGAUAGCGAACAAGUAGCCGUGAGGGAAAGAUGAAAAGAACUUUGAAAAGAGAGUUAAACAGUACGUGAAAUUGUCAAAAGGGAAGCGUUUGACACCAGUGUUGUUUUUCUGAAAAUCAAUUAAAGAACUGUUUAUGCUAAGCUGUAUAGACUUUAUCAGCUAACUGUUUAGUUUUGAGCUUUUCUUUAAUGCACUUUUCAGUUAACAAGUCAACAUCAAUUUCUUUUGCUGUAAAAAAGCUUGAGGAAGGUGGCUUGAGAUUCGUCUUAAGUGUUUAUAGCCUCUUGCCUACUGCAGUCGGAGAGAUUGAGGUCUGCAGCGUAGAUCCUUCGGGGCUAAAUGCAUUUGUGCUAAGUUAUAGCAUUUUAUAGACAACUUAUUGACUAUGAUUUGUCUUGUAGCUUACUCGCUUAUGUUAUUUUACCUACGCUUAGGAUGUUGAAUCUGUGCGAGACUAC
RNAcentral lists this ribosomal RNA (776 nucleotides) under uncultured Neocallimastigales. Its description in RNAcentral is "partial large subunit ribosomal RNA". It matches the Rfam family "Eukaryotic large subunit ribosomal RNA", at positions 26 to 644 of the family's 3401-position model. Lineage: Eukaryota; Fungi; Neocallimastigomycota; Neocallimastigomycetes; Neocallimastigales. The record is from RNAcentral.